AUGCUUGCUUUGGCAGCACAUAUACUAAAAUUGGAAUACAGAGAAGAUUAGCAUGGCCCCUGAGCAAGGAUGACCCGCAAAUUCGUGAAGCAUUCCAUAUUCUU
This 104-nucleotide small nuclear RNA is filed under the name Ailuropoda melanoleuca (giant panda). Lineage: Eukaryota; Metazoa; Chordata; Mammalia; Carnivora; Ursidae. The record is from RNAcentral.